Molecule: ribosomal RNA, 370 nt
Filed under: uncultured organism
Description: bacterial SSU rRNA
Rfam family: Bacterial small subunit ribosomal RNA
Source: RNAcentral
CGGAGGGGGCUAGCGUUGUUCGGAAUUACUGGGCGUAAAGCGUGCGUAGGCGGCCUUUCAAGUUGGGUGUGAAAGCCCGGGGCUUAACCCCGGAAAUGCGCCCAAGACUGUUUGGCUAGAGACCCGGAGAGGUGAGUGGAACUCCCAGUGUAGAGGUGAAAUUCGUAGAUAUUGGGAAGAACACCAGUGGCGAAGGCGGCUCACUGGACGGGUACUGACGCUGAGGCACGAAAGCGUGGGGAGCAAACAGGAUUAGAUACCCUGGUAGUCCACGCCGUAAACUAUGAGAGCUAGACGUUGGGGGGCUUGCCCCUCUGUGUCGCAGCUAACGCGUGAAGCUCUCCGCCUGGGGAGUACGGCCGCAAGGUUA